GAUGAACGCUAGCGGGAGGCCUAACACAUGCAAGCCGAGCGGUAGAGUUUCUUCGGAAACUUGAGAGCGGCGCACGGGUGCGUAACACGUGUGCAACCUACCUUUAUCUGGGGGAUAGCCUUUCGAAAGGAAGAUUAAUACCCCAUAAUAUAAUGAUUGGCAUCAAUUAUUAUUGAAAACUCCGGUGGAUAGAGAUGGGCACGCGCAAGAUUAGAUAGUUGGUGAGGUAACGGCUCACCAAGUCAAUGAUCUUUAGGGGUCCUGAGAGGGAGAUCCCCCACACGGGUACUGAGACACGGACCAGACUCCUACGGGAGGCAGCAGUGAGGAAUAUUGGACAAUGGGUGAGAGCCUGAUCCAGCCAUCCCGCGUGAAGGAUGACGGUCCUAUGGAUUGUAAACUUCUUUUGGACAGGGAUAAACCUACCCUCGUGAGGGUAGCUGAAGGUACUGUACGAAUAAGCACCGGCUAACUCCGUG
RNAcentral lists this ribosomal RNA (479 nucleotides) under uncultured bacterium. Its description in RNAcentral is "partial 16S ribosomal RNA". It matches the Rfam family "Bacterial small subunit ribosomal RNA", at positions 28 to 507 of the family's 1533-position model. The record is from RNAcentral.